This 425-nucleotide ribosomal RNA is filed under the name uncultured bacterium. Its description in RNAcentral is "partial 16S ribosomal RNA". It matches the Rfam family "Bacterial small subunit ribosomal RNA", at positions 354 to 796 of the family's 1533-position model. The record is from RNAcentral.
GUGGGGAAUAUUGCACAAUGGGGGAAACCCUGAUGCAGCGACGCCGCGUGAGUGAAGAAGUAUUUCGGUACGUAAAGCUCUAUCAGCAAGGAAGAAAAUGACGGUACUUGACUAAGAAGCCCCGGCUAACUACGUGCCAGCAGCCGCGGUAAUACGUAGGGGGCAAGCGUUAUCCGGAUUUACUGGGUGUAAAGGGAGCGUAGACGGUAUGGUAAGUCAGAUGUGAAAGCGCGGGGCUCAACCCCGGGACUGGAAUAGAAACUAUCAGACUAGAGUGAGGGAGAGGUAAGUGGAAUUCCUAGUGUAGCGGUGAAAUGCGUAGAUAUUAGGAGGAACACCAGUGGCGAAGGCGGCUUACUGGACUGUAACUGACGCUGAGGCGCGAAAGUGUGGGGAGCAAACAGGAUUAGAAACCCCAGUAGUCC